RNAcentral lists this ribosomal RNA (253 nucleotides) under uncultured bacterium. RNAcentral describes it as "partial 16S ribosomal RNA". It matches the Rfam family "Bacterial small subunit ribosomal RNA", at positions 524 to 776 of the family's 1533-position model. The record is from RNAcentral.
UACGUAGGUGGCAAGCGUUGUCCGGAAUUAUUGGGCGUAAAGCGCGCGCAGGCGGUCCUUUAAGUCUGAUGUGAAAGCCCCCGGCUCAACCGGGGAGAGUGGCUGGAAACUGGCGUUCUUGAGGGCGACAGAGGAGUGUGGAAUUCCUGGUGUAGCGGUGAAAUGCGUAGAGAUCAGGAGGAACACCCGUGGCGAAGGCGGCACUCUGGGUCGCACCUGACGCUGAGACGCGAAAGCGUGGGGAGCGAAUGGG